Molecule: ribosomal RNA, 425 nt
Filed under: uncultured bacterium
Lineage: Bacteria
Description: bacterial SSU rRNA
Rfam family: Bacterial small subunit ribosomal RNA
Source: RNAcentral
GUGGGGAAUAUUGGACAAUGGGGGAAACCCUGAUCCAGCCAUGCCGCGUGAGUGAUGAAGGCCUUCGGGUUGUAAAGCUCUUUUGGCGGGGACGAUGAUGACGGUACCCGCAGAAUAAGCCCCGGCUAACUUCGUGCCAGCAGCCGCGGUAAGACGAAGGGGGCUAGCGUUGUUCGGAAUUACUGGGCGUAAAGGGCGCGCAGGCGGCUUCGCAAGUCGGGCGUUAAAGACCCAGGCUCAACCUGGGGACUGCGUUCGAUACUGCGAAGCUUGAGGUCGGAAGAGGAGAGUGGAAUUCCCAGUGUAGAGGUGAAAUUCGUAGAUAUUGGGAAGAACACCAGUGGCGAAGGCGGCUCUCUGGUCCGACUCUGACGCUGAGGCGCGAAAGCGUGGGGAGCAAACAGGAUUAGAAACCCUAGUAGUCC